GUCGGCCGGUCCGCCUUUGGU
Molecule: non-coding RNA, 21 nt
Filed under: Arabidopsis thaliana (thale cress)
Lineage: Eukaryota; Viridiplantae; Streptophyta; Magnoliopsida; Brassicales; Brassicaceae
Source: RNAcentral